This 397-nucleotide ribosomal RNA is filed under the name uncultured bacterium. RNAcentral's name for it is "partial 16S ribosomal RNA". It matches the Rfam family "Bacterial small subunit ribosomal RNA", at positions 523 to 918 of the family's 1533-position model. The record is from RNAcentral.
AUACGUUGGUGGCAAGCGUUGUCCGGAUUUAUUGGGCGUAAAGCGAGCGCAGGCGGUUUCUUAAGUCUGAUGUGAAAGCACCCGGCUCAACCGGGGAGGGUCAUUGGCAACUGGGAGACUUGAGGGCAGAAGAGGAGAGUGGCAUUCCAUGUGUAGCGGUGAAAUGCGUAGAUAUAUGGAGGAAAACCAGUGGCGAAGGCGACUCUCUGGUCUGUAACUGACGCUGAGGCUCGAAAGCGUGGGGAGCAAACAGGAUUAGAUACCCUGGUAGUCCACGCCGUAAACGAUGAGUGCUAAGUGUUGGAGGGUUUCCGCCCUUCAGUGCUGCAGCUAACGCAUUAAGCACUCCGCCUGGGGAGUACGACCGCAAGGUUGAAACUCAAAGGAAUUGACGGGG